UCAAUUUCCUCAUGCACUAGUAUAUAUUUUGAGAGACUAUAUAUAUAUAUAUAUAUAUAUAUUCUCUUCUUCUCUAGCAGUAGCUAGCAACUUGUACUGUUUUUUUUCUUUUCGGUUUUUCCCUUCACGGCUUAAUGUUAGAGGCUCAGACUUUUUACUCAGAGGGGUCCCCUAUGACUCUAUGAGCCCAGUUGGCUUGUGUAAUAUAUUUAUAUCAUCUGUAUGAAAUGAAUGAAAUCGACAGAAAAUUAAAGCUCUU
Molecule: long non-coding RNA, 259 nt
Organism: Prunus dulcis (almond)
Lineage: Eukaryota; Viridiplantae; Streptophyta; Magnoliopsida; Rosales; Rosaceae
Exons: 2
Source: RefSeq, a predicted model, not a curated record